This 497-nucleotide ribosomal RNA is filed under the name uncultured bacterium. RNAcentral's name for it is "partial 16S ribosomal RNA". It matches the Rfam family "Bacterial small subunit ribosomal RNA", at positions 28 to 507 of the family's 1533-position model. The record is from RNAcentral.
GAUGAACGCUGGCGGCGUGCCUAAUACAUGCAAGUCGAGCGAACAGACGAGGAGCUUGCUCCUCUGACGUUAGCGGCGGACGGGUGAGUAACACGUGGAUAACCUACCUAUAAGACUGGGAUAACUUCGGGAAACCGGAGCUAAUACCGGAUAAUAUAUUGAACCGCAUGGUUCAAUAGUGAAAGACGGUUUUGCUGUCACUUAUAGAUGGAUCCGCGCCGCAUUAGCUAGUUGGUAAGGUAACGGCUUACCAAGGCAACGAUGCGUAGCCGACCUGAGAGGGUGAUCGGCCACACUGGAGCUGAGACACGGUCCAGACUCCUACGGGAGGCAGCAGUAGGGAAUCUUCCGCAAUGGGCGAAAGCCUGACGGAGCAACGCCGCGUGAGUGAUGAAGGUCUUCGGAUCGUAAAACUCUGUUAUUAGGGAAGAACAAAUGUGUAAGUAACCAUGCACGUCUUGACGGUACCUAAUCAGAAAGCCACGGCUAACUACGUG